CAGUGGUAGAGCAGCAGAUUGCAAAUCUGUUGGUCC
RNAcentral lists this transfer RNA (36 nucleotides) under Ogataea angusta. RNAcentral's name for it is "partial transfer RNA". Lineage: Eukaryota; Fungi; Ascomycota; Pichiomycetes; Pichiales; Pichiaceae. The record is from RNAcentral.